This 411-nucleotide long non-coding RNA is filed under the name Coffea arabica (coffee). RNAcentral's name for it is "long non-coding RNA (CARA_LNC004328)". The record is from RNAcentral. Lineage: Eukaryota; Viridiplantae; Streptophyta; Magnoliopsida; Gentianales; Rubiaceae.
UUUUUCUUUUUUUUUUCGCAGGUCAAUAAUAAUUAACACAAAAAGACUUAGUCGUUAGCCGUCGGGGCAUUUUGACGCGAACUCCAACAUUUUUAGAUGAAGGAGCCCGGUUACUCAGCUCCUACCGCUAUACGACCACGUACUCAUAAGAAGUACCACCUUUUGACGCGAAAAUCGACACUUUCAGGUGCAGAUUCCCGGUUACUCGGUAGUAGCUAAUAGAGGAGUACAGUCAAGCUUAUUCACAGCCAAACAACACAGAAACGCAAAAUAACAGCACUAACAACUAAACAUAGGGCAGCUCGCCUCAUUAUUGCCAAACAUGGAGAACUGGAGUCAAAAUUGGACCAGUUCACAUCAAAAUGCCAACAGUCAUUCCCAAUGCCUAGAAAAGUUAACAAAGUAAGCAAA